UACGUAGGGUGCAAGCGUUGUCCGGAAUUAUUGGGCGUAAAGAGCUCGUAGGCGGUCUGUUGCGUCGGUAGUGAAAACUCAGGGCUUAACCCUGAGCCUGCUUCCGAUACGGGCAGACUAGAGGUAUGCAGGGGAGAACGGAAUUCCUGGUGUAGCGGUGAAAUGCGCAGAUAUCAGGAGGAACACCGGUGGCGAAGGCGGUUCUCUGGGCAUUACCUGACGCUGAGGAGCGAAAGUGUGGGGAGGCGAACAGG
This 254-nucleotide ribosomal RNA is filed under the name uncultured bacterium. Its description in RNAcentral is "partial 16S ribosomal RNA". It matches the Rfam family "Bacterial small subunit ribosomal RNA", at positions 524 to 776 of the family's 1533-position model. The record is from RNAcentral.